This 71-nucleotide transfer RNA is filed under the name Trichophyton rubrum. RNAcentral describes it as "tRNA-Aspartate". The record is from RNAcentral. Lineage: Eukaryota; Fungi; Ascomycota; Eurotiomycetes; Onygenales; Arthrodermataceae.
GGUUAGUAACUUAAUUGGCAAAGGAUUUUCUUGUCGAGAAAAUAGAUAUCGGAUCGUAGACGAUUUAACCC